This 253-nucleotide ribosomal RNA is filed under the name uncultured bacterium. RNAcentral's name for it is "partial 16S ribosomal RNA". It matches the Rfam family "Bacterial small subunit ribosomal RNA", at positions 524 to 776 of the family's 1533-position model. The record is from RNAcentral.
UACAGAGGUCUCAAGCGUUGUUCGGAUUCAUUGGGCGUAAAGGGUGCGUAGGCGGCGCGGUAAGUCGGGUGUGAAAUCUUGGAGCUUAACUCCGAAACUGCAUUCGAUACUGCCGUGCUUGAGGACUGGAGAGGAGACUGGAAUUUACGGUGUAGCGGUGAAAUGCGUAGAUAUCGUAAGGAAGACCAGUGGCGAAGGCGAGUCUCUGGACAGUUACCGACGCUGAGGCACGAAGGCCAGGGGAGCAAACGGG